Molecule: non-coding RNA, 77 nt
Filed under: Pseudorhodobacter sp.
Lineage: Bacteria; Pseudomonadati; Pseudomonadota; Alphaproteobacteria; Rhodobacterales; Paracoccaceae
Source: RNAcentral
UUGCGAAACCUCCGUCCGGCACGUUUCGGGCGGCGGUCGGUUUGGCGUGGUGGCCAUUCCCUGAUGAGCAGCCAAAG